GCUGGGCAUGGUGGCGUGUGCCUGUAGUCCCAGCUACUUGGGAGGCUGAGGUGGGAGGAUUGCUUGAGCCCAGGAGGUUGAGGCUGCAUUGAGCUGAGAUCGCAACACUGCACUCACCCUGGGCGACAGAGUAAAAUCCUAUCUCAA
This is an unclassified non-coding RNA of Papio anubis (olive baboon), 147 nucleotides long. It matches the Rfam family "Metazoan signal recognition particle RNA". From Rfam's summary of the family: The signal recognition particle (SRP) is a universally conserved ribonucleoprotein. Lineage: Eukaryota; Metazoa; Chordata; Mammalia; Primates; Cercopithecidae. The record is from Ensembl.